This 160-nucleotide ribosomal RNA is filed under the name uncultured bacterium. RNAcentral describes it as "partial 16S ribosomal RNA". The record is from RNAcentral.
CACGUAGUUAGCCGGUGCUUCUUAUUCCGGUACCGUCAUCCACAUCGGGUAUUAACCGAUGCGAUUUCUUCCCGGCCGAAAGAGCUUUACAACCCGAAGGCCUUCUUCACUCACGCGGCAUGGCUGGAUCAGGCUUGCGCCCAUUGUCCAAAAUUCCCCA